Molecule: non-coding RNA, 1040 nt
Organism: Camellia sinensis
Lineage: Eukaryota; Viridiplantae; Streptophyta; Magnoliopsida; Ericales; Theaceae
Source: RefSeq, a predicted model, not a curated record
GCGUUACCUAAAUUAGUUAAUAAGUGGAUACGUUGACUGUUUUCGUUGUUGCGCAAAUAUCGCUUUCUUGUCCUUUCUCCCGUUGAGAAGCAGGGCAGAGAGAUCAACUCAAAAACCCCUCCCUCGAAAAAUCAGAGCUUUACACCCAAAUGGAAAUCGAAUCGAUCAAGGAACCACAAUCAGUCUACGCCUUCACUGUCAAGGAUGCUAAGGGAAAUGAUGUAGAUCUGAGCAUUUACAAAGGCAAAGUCUUACUGAUUGUUAAUGUUGCUUCUAAAUGUGGAAUGACCAGUUCAAACUACAUGGAACUGAAUCAGUUAUACCGAACCCGUACAAGAUCAAGGACUGGAGAUAUUAGCAUUUCCAUGUAAUCAGUUUGGCGAGGAAGAACCAGGAAGCAAUGAUCAGAUCUUAGAGUUCGUCUGCACUCAUUUCAAGUCAGAAUAUCCCAUUUUUGAUAAGAUUGAAGUGAACGGAGAAAAUGCAGCUCCGCUAUACAAGUUCUUAAAGUUAGGAAAAUGGGGAAUCAUUGGAGAUGAUAUUCAGUGGAACUUUGCUAAGUUUCUUGUUGACAAGAAUGGGCAGGCUGUCGAUCGCUAUUACCCCACAACUUCGCCUCUUACCAUCGAGAGAGAUGUGAAGCAGCUAUUGGGGAUUUUGUAGUGCUAAGCUAUUAAGGCUUUGUAAAGUUGUACUAAUAGGCUUGAUGUGUGGUUCUGUGCUGUUGGGAAACAUGUGACUUGUACUGGAUAAUGCUUCACUCAACAAUGAUACAUUCAAUUUGUGUAAACACAGAUUUGAUUCUCUCUCUCUCUUUCUUUCUCUUUCUCUCUCUCUCUCUCUCCCAGAACCAAGGUGGCCAGAAGUUAUCUCUGACUUGAGGCCCUAGAGGCCUAUUUGAUUGAUGUCUGUCAGACUUGGAAUUUUUACUAUGAGUUCUGUUGUCAAUGUCAUGUUUGCUGGUUUGUGCCAUAAGGAAUAUGAUAAUAUUAAGUUAUUGGUUGUUUUAAUAUAGCAAUAAACAAGUUUUGAUGGUUUAA